UCGAGGGGAAACGAUAGAGAAAGCUUGCUUUUUCUAGGCGUCGACCGGCGCACGGGUGAGUAACGCGUAUCCAACCUGCCCAUCACUUGGGGAUAACCUUGCGAAAGUAAGACUAAUACCCAAUGAUGUCCAUAGAAGACGUCUGAAAUGGAUUAAAGAUUUAUCGGUGAUGGAUGGGGAUGCGUCUGAUUAGCUUGUUGGCGGGGUAACGGCCCACCAAGGCGACGAUCAGUAGGGGUUCUGAGAGGAAGGUCCCCCACAUUGGAACUGAGACACGGUCCAAACUCCUACGGGAGGCAGCAGUGAGGAAUAUUGGUCAAUGGACGAGAGUCUGAACCAGCCAAGUAGCGUGCAGGAUGACGGCCCUAUGGGUUGUAAACUGCUUUUAUAAGGGAAUAAAGUGAGAGUCGUGACUCUUUUUGCAUGUACCUUAUGAAUAAGGACCGGCUAAUUCCGUGCCAGCAGCCGCGGUAAUACGGAAGGUCCGGGCGUUAUCCGGAUUUAUUGGGUUUAAAGGGAGCGUAGGCCGGAGAUUAAGCGUGUUGUGAAAUGUAGACGCUCAACGUCUGCACUGCAGCGCGAACUGGUUUCCUUGAGUACGCGCAAAGUGGGCGGAAUUCGUGGUGUAGCGGUGAAAUGCUUAGAUAUCACGAAGAACUCCGAUUGCGAAGGCAGCUCACUGGAGCGCAACUGACGCUGAAGCUCGAAAGUGCGGGUAUCGAACAGGAUUAGAUACCCUGGUAGUCCGCACGGUAAACGAUGGAUGCCCGCUGUUGGUCUGAAUAGGUCAGCGGCCAAGCGAAAGCAUUAAGCAUCCCACCUGGGGAGUACGCCGGCAACGGUGCAACUCAAAUGAAUUGACGGA
RNAcentral lists this ribosomal RNA (865 nucleotides) under uncultured Bacteroidota bacterium. RNAcentral describes it as "bacterial SSU rRNA". It matches the Rfam family "Bacterial small subunit ribosomal RNA", at positions 62 to 917 of the family's 1533-position model. The record is from RNAcentral. Lineage: Bacteria; Pseudomonadati; Bacteroidota.